RNAcentral lists this non-coding RNA (30 nucleotides) under Rattus norvegicus (Norway rat). The record is from RNAcentral. Lineage: Eukaryota; Metazoa; Chordata; Mammalia; Rodentia; Muridae.
UUGGNGUUGCCUGAGUUUAAGGCCUUCGCU